AAAAACCUCUGUCGGGUGCAUCCUGUUAAGAAUCAUAGAUUCGAUUACUGUCUUAAUGACAGUUGGUUACUGUCUUAAUGACAGUUUGUUUUUCUGUUUUCUUAUUUUAUCUUUGUUUCCCCUUCCCCACUCCUUUUGAUUGUAACACAAAACACAAAAUCAUUGUAAUAAAAUCAGAUUUCACAGAAACAAGGAAAGAUAGAGUUUUUCUUACUCUUCUCGUUAUCCCUUUCAUUUUUGUCUUCUUGGUCGCCACCGUCCACCGCCUCUAGGAUCGCCGGACGUCCUCCGUCUUCAUCAUCGGAUUUCUCAUCACUGGAGCUCUCUUCUCUCUCCUCACUCUCGGUAAAGCUUUACUGAUUUGAGGUAAAGCCUCUGACCCCAUCCACUCUAUUAUCUCCUACGGGCCAUGGGUCAUUGAGCUGAAUAUUCAAGUGCACAGUAUUGGGCUUUUACCAAUAUGGUAUCAGAGCAGGUCUAGUACCUGCUCUGCUUCCGCUGCCUUCAUAGUUAAUCUUGAUAUCUUCUUGGACUGUUUCUUGCUCUUCUUUAAUGGAACAAAUGGAUCAAUCUUGCAACCCAUCUAGUCCUUAUUAUCUGCACCCAGGAGAAAACCCAGGACUUAUGCUCGUUACACAGGUUCUGAAUGAAAACAACUACUCUUCUUGGAGUAGAAGUAUGAGGAGAGCCUUGCUUUCCAAGAAUAAAAUAAAGUUUGUUGAUGGGUCCAUAAAGAAACCCCAGAAAACUGAUACACUGUUUGAUGCAUGGGAAAGGUGCAACAUGAUGAUUUUAUCUUGGAUAACAAAGGCUCUUUCACCACACAUUGCUGAAAGCGUCAUAUAUGCUGAAGAAGCUAAGGAUUUAUGGGAUGAACUGAAAGAAAGGUUCUCUAAAGGUGAUUAUUUCAAGAUUUCAGACCUGCUUCAGGAUAUACAUUCUAUCAAACAAGGAGAAAGGGGAGUGAGCCAGUUCUUCACAGAUCUGAAGAUUCUGUGGGAAGAGUUAGAGUCCCUAAGACCCAUACCAACCUGCACAUGCCAGGUCCCAUGUAGCUGUGAUCUUUCAAGGAUAUUCUUGAAGUACAGAGAAAUGGAACAUGUGAUAUGUUUCUUAAAAGGUCUUAAUGAUUCUUACAGUACAAUCAGAACACAAAUUCACCUCAUGGAUCCUCUUCCCAAUAUCAAUAGGGUCUUCUCUCUUAUUAUGCAACAAGAAAGACAAGAAAAGCAAGGUGUUGUUGAUAUCAAAGCUCUAGCCAGUAUGACUGACAGAAACAAUCAAUGGAGAAACCAGGGAAACCAAGGAAGAGGUUAUGGAACCCGUGGUCAAGGAAGAGGAAGGGGAAGAAAUCCUAACUAUGGCAAACAAUGUUCAUAUUGUAACAAAAUGAAUCACACCAUAGACGAGUGUUAUUCUAAGCACGGGUAUCCACCGUGGUACAAGAAAGGAGACAACAACCAAGAAAAGAGGAGUGACUGGAGUUCUGUGAAUAUUUGUCAGAACAGUACCGAACCAGAAGGGACUCAAAACACACAACAGACUGGUAAUAGCAAUGUUUUUAAUUCAUUCACAACUGAACAAAUGGAAAAACUUCUCAGAAUGAUAGAUAGAGCUGAUGAAUCCUCUCACAAAAUCAAUCAAGUUUAAAGGAAUGAGACUGAAAAUAGACAAGGUAAUCUUUCUUGGAUAAUUGACACAGGUGCCACAGAUCAUGUGACACAUGAUAAAAGAAAUUUUGUUACUUUUUAUAAAAUCAGACCUGUUUCUAUUAAACUGCCAAAUAAUACUACUCUCACAGCAUAGCACGCAGGAAUAGUGCAGUUUUCAUAGGACUUUAUCAUUUUCAAUGUGCUCUAUAUUCCUGAAUUUUGUUUUAAUCUAAUUUCUGUUCAAAGUCUUAUUAAAGACUUGGACUGUAACCUAACUUUUUCCUCUAAGACUUGUUAGAUAAGGGAGAACCAUACAUUGAAGAUGAUUGGAUGUGCUGAUUCUUGGGAAGGACUCUAUUACUUGCAAGCUUUUCCUAAACCUGAUCAAAGAUACACUUUAAAGUCUACUUUUUCUUGUAAGAAUGUAGAUGUUAGUAUGUGGCACUAUAGAUUAGGCCACCCAGGAGAUAGGGUUGUAAAACAGAUUAGUGAUAAUUUUCCCUAUGUUAAAAUUGACACUGAUUUUGUAUGUGACACCUGCCAUUAUGCUAAACAGCGGAAAUUGCCUUUCUCCAAAAGUGCUUCUAUUACUACCGAAUGUUUUGAAAUUCUUGUGAUAUUUGGGGCCCUCUAAACACUAUCUCUGUUCAUGGUCAUAAGUACUUCCUCACCAUAGUUGAUGAUUACAGUAGACACACAUGGGUGUUCCUAAUGAGUAAUAAAGGUCAAACAAGAGUUUUACUACAGAAUUUUGUUGCCAAAAUCAAAAACCAGUUUAACAAAACAGUCAAAACCAUUAGAUCUGAUAAUGGUCUUGAAUUUAAUUGUGUGGAUUUCUAUGGUUUACAUGGGAUUAACCAUCAAAGAAGUUGUGUUGAAACCCCUGAACAAAAUUCAGUUGUUGAAAGAAAACAUCAACAUAUACUAAGUGUUACCCGGACCCUUCUUUUUCAAUCUAACGUCCCUGAUUCUUACUGGUCUUAUGCCAUUGGGCAUGCUGUUUAUCUAAUAAAUAGGCUGCCCACUCCUAUUCUUAAAAACAAAACACCGUAUGAUCUGCUUUACAACCUACCACCCACUUAUUUAGAUAUUAAAACCUUUGGCUGCUUGUGUUUUGCUUCAACUCUUGAAAAUAAUAGAAGUAAGCUUGACCCAAGAGCUAGAAAGGGAAUCUUUCUAGGAUAUAAGAAUGGUGUGAAAGGUUACAUCGUGCUUGACAUAAACACCAAGGAACUUUUUAUAAGCAGAAAUGUUGUCUUCCAUGAAGAUGUUUUUCCUUACAGAAAACUGCAGGGCAGCAGAGAAGGCUAUGACAGUGAAGAAGACAAAGCUGAUUCUCUCAAUGACCUCCUAGAAGAUCACUAUCCUAUCAACAACGAUGUACAUACUGAGCCAAAUAACGCUGACCAAGAACAGCUGCAGCAGACCACCAAUAGUGAAGACAAUAAUGACAGUACGAGAAGCAAUCAAGAAAAUCAAAGAUACAGAAGGUCUGAAAGACCAAGAAAGAGUCCAGGAUAUCUGAAAGAUUAUGUCCACCAAGUCAAUCAAUCCCUGACUAUGAGAAACAGUCUUAAAACUCCACAUCCGAUCUAUAAUUUAUGCUGUGAUAAUCUUUCAGAGAAACAUUUGAGGUACACCCUGGCUGUUACUGGAAAUAAAGAACCCAUAUCCUAUAAUGAGGCCAAGGACAUGAAGGAAUGGGUAGAGGCCAUGCAGAGAGAAAUAAAAGCCUUGCAAGACAAUAAAACCUGGGUCUUGACUCACCUCCCUCCAGGAAAAGCUGCUAUAGGAUGCAAAUGGGUCUACAAGACAAAAUACAAAGCUGAUGGCAGCAUAGAAAGGUUCAAAGCUCGAUUAGUGGCUAAAGGGUACACACAGCAGGAGGGAAUAGACUAUCUUGACACAUUUUCCCCUGUAGCUAAACUUACCACAGUUAGACUACUGAUUGCUCUGGUAGCUUCAAAUAAUUGGUUUCUACAUCAACUAGAUGUUGACUGUUGACAAUGCUUUCUUACAUGGAGAUCUAAAUGAAGAAGUUUACAUGGAGUUACCUCCAGGUCUAAACACCCACAAUAAGGGAUAGGUUUGCAGGUUAACUAAAUCUUUGUAUGGACUGAAACAAGCCAGUAGGCAAUGGUUUGAAAAACUGUCUUCCUUCUUAAUAUCUGCCAAUUAUGUCCAAUCACAGUCUGAUCACUCACUAUUCAUUAGAAAAACACCUACAAGCUUUACUGCUUUACUUGUAUAUGUGGAUGACAUUAUAUUAACAGGUAACUCUAUGAUGGAAAUCAAUGGCAUAAAGGAACUUCUACACAACAAAUUCCGUAUUAAGGACCUUGGAGAACUCAAAUACUUCCUAGGUAUGGAGGUGGCCAGAUCUAAGAAGGGUAUUCAUCUAUGUCAAAGAAAGUAUGCUUUGGACAUACUUGAGGAAAUAGGAAUGUUAGGCUGUAAGCCUUCUUCUACUCCCUUUUUAAGUGAUACCAGCCCUCUAUAUAAAUCCGACAGCUAUCUUGAUGAUCCAGGUCCUUAUAGAAAGCUGAUAGGGAAGUUACUAUACCUUACCAACACUAGGCCUGAUUUAUGUUUUACAAUUAAUCUGCUUAGUCAAUUCAUGCAAUCACCUACUGACUAUCACUAUCGGGCCAUUCAACAUAUCCUCAGGUACAUUAAAUCCAAUCCUUCUCAAGGGCUAUUUUUUGCUGCUGACUCACCUAUACAAUUAAAGGCCUUUAGUGACUCUAACUGGGCAACAUGUCCCAACACCAGAAGAUCCACAACGGGGUUCAGUGUUUUCCUUGGAACCUCACUCAUUUCCUGGAAGUCUAAGAAGCAGAAAACUGUAUCUAGAUCCUCUACUGAAGCUGAGUAUAGGGCGCUUGCAGCCACUGUAUGUGAAAUACAGUGGCUCUGUUAUCUUUUACAGGACCUACAAACUAAAGAAUCAGGGACUCCAGCCUUGUACUGCGACAACAAGUCUGCAAGGCAUAUAGCUCAUAACCAGAGCUUCCACGAACGGACCAAGCAUAUUGAGCUUGACUGUCACGUUGUUCAUGAAAAGGUUCAACAAGGCCUUCUGAAUCUACUUCCCGUCCGAUCUGAUGAGCAGCUGGUCGACCUCUUCACCAAAUUUCCACAUCGCGUCAGAUUCAAGUCGGUUGUUCCCAAGCUUGGACUGGUGAGUAUACACAGUUCAGCUUGAGGGGAGGCUGUUAAGAAUCAUAGAUUCGGUUACUAUCUUAAUGACAGUUGGUUACUGUCUUAAUGACAGUUUGUUUUUCUGUUUUCUUAUUUUAUCUUUGUUUCCCCUUCCCCACAGAGCUCUAUAUAUAUAGAGCUCUCCCUUUCCUUUUGAUUGUAACACAAAACACAAAAUCAUUGUAAUAAAAUCAGAUUUCACAGAAACAAGGAAAGAUAAAGUUUUUCUUACUCUUCUCGUUAUCCCCUUCAUUUUUGUCUUCUUGGUCGCCGUCGUCCACUGCCUCUAGGAUCACCAGACGUCCUCCGUCUUCAUCAUCGGAUUUCUCAUCACUGGAGCUCUCUUCUCUCUCCUCGCUCUCGGUAAAGCUUUACUGAUUUGAGGUAAAGCCUCUGACCCCAUCCACUCUAUUAUCUCCUACGGG
This 5278-nucleotide long non-coding RNA is filed under the name Vigna radiata. RNAcentral describes it as "long non-coding RNA (VRAD_LNC006985)". Lineage: Eukaryota; Viridiplantae; Streptophyta; Magnoliopsida; Fabales; Fabaceae. The record is from RNAcentral.